GAGGGUGUAGCUCAGCCGGUAGAGCGGGGGACUGUGGAUCCCCAUGUCGCGGGUUCGAGUCCCGUCACCCUCC
This 73-nucleotide transfer RNA is filed under the name Aquifex aeolicus. Its description in RNAcentral is "tRNA-His". It matches the Rfam family "tRNA". Rfam says of the family: Transfer RNA (tRNA) molecules are approximately 80 nucleotides in length. The record is from RNAcentral. Lineage: Bacteria; Pseudomonadati; Aquificota; Aquificia; Aquificales; Aquificaceae.